AUAAAGUUUUAUUCCGGCUUAUUUAAUUAAUCAAUAGAUUUUUUUAUAUGUAAAUUUUUGUAGUUAUGUAUUUUAAUUUAAAUAAUUAAAAUAUUAGCAUUUAAACGCAGUAAUAAGUAUUAAAUAUUAAUAAAAAUUAGAUUUAGAAAUUUAUAUAAGUAUUGACAAAAUUUGUGCCAGCAGUUGCGGUUAUACAUAUAAUGCAAUUAAUUAAUUUUAGCUUAUAAUUAAUUUGUUUAAUAAAAAUAUAUAUUAGAAUUUAUUAGGUGGAAUUUUAAAUUUUAAAAAUUUUUAUAAUAGAUAAUGAAAUUAUUAAAUUUAGCAUUAAACUAGGAUUAGAUACCCUAUUAUUAUAAAUGUAAAUUAUAAAGCUUAAUUAGUAUUAGUUAUGUUCUUUAAAGUUAAAGAAUUUGGCGGUAUUUUAGUCUAUUUAGAGGAACCUGUCCUAUAAUCGAUAAUCCACGAUUUAUUUUACUUAUUUUAAUUAGUUUGUAUAUCGUCGUCAUUUGAAUAUUUUAAGAGAAUAGUAAUAUUCAAGAUUCAUAAUUAUGGAGAAAAUCAGAUCAAGGUGCAGCUUAUAAAUAAGGAGAGAUGGGUUACAAUAAAUUUAUUUAUAUGGUAUGAAUUUUGAAAAAUUUCAUUAAAGUGGAUUUAAAAGUAAUAAGGUUAAAUUUAAUCAUAUGAUUUUAGCUCUAGAAUAUGUACAUAUCGCCCGUCGCUCUCGUUUAAAAUGAGAUAAGUCGUAACAUAGUAGAUGUACUGGAAAGUGUAUCUAGUAAGAC
Molecule: non-coding RNA, 782 nt
Filed under: Ontholestes tessellatus
Lineage: Eukaryota; Metazoa; Arthropoda; Insecta; Coleoptera; Staphylinidae
Source: RNAcentral